This is a long non-coding RNA of Bombyx mori (domestic silkworm), 3624 nucleotides long. RefSeq lists it as uncharacterized. Lineage: Eukaryota; Metazoa; Arthropoda; Insecta; Lepidoptera; Bombycidae. The transcript has 2 exons. The record is from RefSeq and is a predicted model, not a curated record.
CACACUCGACUACCUUCUAGUCAAAAAACGGUGCGCGUGCAACUAGGGGCACGUGAAUGAAGUGAAACUUCUUUUUCGAUGUGUAGUACCUAUUGUGGUUUUCUUCAUUUUUCAUCCUUAAAUCAGAUUGGCUCUUGUAAUAGGGAAUGCUGUGUAUAAGAGAUGCGACAUCUUCAAUAUUUAAAUUUUAUAUUUAUAGAAAAAUAAAUAUAUAAUAUAUUUAAAUACUUCAUUAAAAUAUUGGGCGCUACUCGUUGCUAACGCUCGCGCUGUAACAGAUAUACUACGCGCACGCGUUCGAGUGCCACGCAUACACUCUCGCUCUGUCUCUUUCAAUUCCCCCUCCCAAGGAGCGUUGAACGUUUAACGCAACCUUGUAUGAAGUCGCAUUAGAAGUUUCACUUCAAAACUACUAUUUAAAAUAAAACAGAGCACGAUACAGUCAUUGCGUUUGUAAACAAGGAAAAAAUGUAUUUAGAGGAUUGACUUUAGGUCUAAGGAAUGUAUUGAUUUAUUGAGAGGUUUAGCUGAAUACGUAAUUAGUGGAAAAACACGUUUUGAUGGUAACAAAAGAAUAGUCUUUUGGAAUAGGGUGAAUUGAAAGUAUAGAAGUCGACCGUGAUACAGGUAAUCCUCCUAUAACGCGGUUUCAUUCUAACACGAAAAGAAAAAUUCGGUACGAUAAUUCUAAAACACGAUAACGAAAUUUUUGUAUAAAUUAUUUAGAGACUAGUGGUAGGACCUCUUGUGAGUCCGCACGGGUAGGUACCACCGCCCUGCCUAUUUCUGCCGUGAAGCAGUAAUUCGUUUCGGUUUGAAGGGUGGGACAGCCAUGUAACUAUACUUGAGACGUUACAACUUAUAUCUCAAGGUGGGUGGCGCAUUUACGUUGUAGAUGUCCCGUUGUAGAACCACUUAACACCAGGAGGGCUGUGAGCUCGUCCACCCAUAUAAGCAAUAAAAAAUAACCGAAAUUUUACCGCUUAUUUUUUUUAAUGUAUAAUAUAAUAGGUAAAAAAAAUACACUAAAGUAUAAUUCUAGGGUCGGCAGACUAAAGCACAUAAGUCAAAAUUUUCAAUUUAUUUUUUAUUACAUCAUCGGUUUACAUUUUGCUCAACACACAAUCUGACUAAAGCACAUAAAUCAAACUCAAGUAUUUCAUGGCGUAUUCAAGCGGCGUUCUGUAUCAACCUUAUCAAAUCCUAAUAUAGUCAAACGAACUAAAAAACAUAACUGGACUUAUGUUCUAAGGAACACCAUAAGUACAAAGUUAUUAACGUAAGAAGUCUGACUUAUGUUAUAAAGAACAUCAAAAUGUAACAUUUCUUUAGAGAAAGUGGUUACUUAAAAAUAUUUAUAACGUAAACAAUACUUCGAAUGAAAUGUAAAGAACGUAUACCAUUAACUGAUAGGCGUGCCAUAUUUACAGAAUAUUGGCAAAUGGGGUCAUAUGCAAAAAGAUCUGCAUACUUGGCGUCUUUAAUGGAAAUUCAAAAUAAAUCUAAGCAAAGAAUACGAGCUAUUGAACCUGAAAAGCAAAAGCUUAGAAUGAAGACAUAAAAAUACUUUUUUACUGUGCAUGGUAAACAUGAACCUGUCUGCCGAGGAUGUUUAAUGAAACCGUUAGAUGAAAGUGACAAUUUUAUAAAGACAGUUGCUAUGAAAAGGAGAUCAUCCAUAGGGGGUUCUCAAACUGAUGAUAUAAUAUCUAUACAGCCAUUACCCAUAUCCAUCGAGGAAAAAAAAGAUUUAAUUUCGCUGCUCCCUUUAAUACUAGAUAUUUUCCAUGAAUUUUACAUAAGUCUUCCCACGUUGGAAACUUUACGAAAUACUGAUCCAGAUAUUUUAGAACUCGAUGAAGAAGAAGAAUUUUAAUUAAACAUUGAGUUGUUAUUUAUAUUUAUGACUUAUAUUAUUAUAAUAUAUAUCUUAAUUGUUGAUCUUUUUCACUUAACUCAUACUAUUAUUGUGUUCCUUAUAACUUAAGUCAUCUAAUUAUUAAAUAAUCACAUUUAAUUUAAAAUAUUUAAUUUUAAUAAUAAGUUAGUGUUAUAGACUUAUAUAAUUCAAAUAAACAUUAUUAAGUUUGUUAAUGUAUAAGAUUCUAAAUAGUUUUUUUUAAUUCCUGUAAAGUAGAGUUUUUUGACUUAUGUGCUUUAGUCUGCUGACCCUAGAAUUGAGAUGUUUCAUUAUGCACGCUGCCCUAUUAGCACGUACCGCAAGUAAGUUAAAAAGCGAACUAUACUAUUGGAAUAGAAUUAGUUACCCUUAAUGCAGACAGACAAUUCUGUUUGGCUUCAAAACUUCAAUGUUUCUCGUGCUCAUUUAUAAAUGAUUUACAAAUCUAUACUAAUAUAUAAAUCUACAGUGGUUUUACGGAUGUUCCAUUAUAACUACUGAACCGUGCAACCGAUUGACUUGAAACUUGGUAUCCAUGUAGAAAAUACAUGUACAGUACGACCGACGUAACUUGGCGAGUCUGAAUAUAGCCGCAGGUCAACUUUCGCGCAUGUACACUUGUAAAAAAAAGUGUUAUUAGUAUUCAUUUUUUAAAAUCAAAAUACGAAUUAAAAUUUCCAUAUACAGGGACCAAGUACAAAUAAAAUGAAUAUCAAAACACUAUGAGAGAGAAAGCUAUAAAAAUAACGUAAUAAAUUAAAGAGAGGUAAUAAAAAAAUAAUAAAUUAAGACAGAAAGCGGUAAAAAUAACGUAAUUAAAUUAAUUCGAAAGUAAGCCCGAACACUGCCUUCAGUUGCGAUCCGCUGUACUGUGCGUUGCGAUACACCAGAUCGUUAGCAACUCUAAAUAAAACUGUCAACAUCUUUUACGCCUUCUUCUUUUUCUUUUUAAAAAAAAAUCAAAAAUUAUGUUUGUCGGCCGUCGAUUUAAAACACUAUUAUGCUUUGGUGGCAUCUUUGUUAACGAAUAGUAUAAAUGCCAAGGGACACUCAAUACUAAAACAAAUUUAAACACAAACAAUCUUAAAACUAAACAAAAAACUGAGCACUAAACAAAAACAGUAUAAUAAUAACAAAUCAAUGAAAACUUUUGUAGCCGCCCGUACUCAAGACAGAGAUAGCGACACGAACACGACACUAAUGCUAGCGUGUGAGUGAGACACAUUACCGCAUACCGAGAAUUACCGAAUUUAUACGAUGUCAAGAAAAGGGAUGUCCAAUAUGCGUGUUUGAGGAUGUUGUUUAAUCGAUUUUUUUUCAAAUUGAUUAAAAUUUAUAUAAAAAUAUAUAUUUAUAUUCCAUUUUAUAGGAGGUUUAAAAUAUUCACGAACAGUCCCUAUUGUAGUAGUUGUUGAUAAAUAACUGAUAUUCAACUAAAUCAUGUCUUUCAACCAAGAAAAUAAAGUGUUAUUAGUUUUUUUUUUUAUUAAAGAUGAAGUCUCGUUUACUAACGACAACAUUCAAUAUGUUUGUAAAUCUAUUUCAUUCAUUAUUUCAUAUAAACAAAAAUCAAUAAAUUCCAAACCGAUAAAAAUCGAUUGUGAUAUUUGAUUGAAUAAAGGGACGAUUGUGUUUACAUAGAGUCAAUCCCUAGCCUAGACCUCCGCCCCGCGCACGUUGCUCAUACCACCAUUUGGUUCCUAAAAACGUUUGUGCGCAGCCUU